Molecule: RNA transcript, 1870 nt
Organism: Humulus lupulus (European hop)
Lineage: Eukaryota; Viridiplantae; Streptophyta; Magnoliopsida; Rosales; Cannabaceae
Exons: 5
Source: RefSeq, a predicted model, not a curated record
AUGAGAAAAGGGCAGGGAACAAUCUCCCAAGUUUCCAUUCCUAGUUUUGCUCUUAAUUUAGUUUUUAAAUUUUUUGGCGCCAAAAUAGAAAAAUACUCUCUCCCCUAAAUUUCAAAAUUCAAGACUCCUUCCAUGGCAUUGUGAACCAGUUUUCUGCCUCAGUCAUGGAGAAGGGUCUGAUAUCAGUGGACCGGUGGACCGGAGAUAGCCAGGCCUACUUCCUGACUCACCUCCAUUCCGAUCACACCAAAGGCCUUUCUUCUUCAUGGGCCAAGGCUCCAAUUUUCUGCUCUCGCCUCACCGCCAAGCUCUUCCCCUUCAAAUUCUCAGAUUUUGACCUCUCUCUUCUUCGCAUUGUCCGAAUCGGUUCAUGGCACUCCAUUUCUCUUGUUUCGCCUUCCAGCGGUUCAAAGGCCGUCAUCCAGUUUAUGGCCAUCGACGCUCACCAUUGUCCCGGUGCUGUUAUGUUCUUGUUUCGUGGAGACUUUGGCAGUUUGCUGUAUACUGGUGAUUUUCGAUGGGAAACAACUAGUGACAGGGUUAAGAUGGGAAUGAACAUGCUUCUGAGUUCUUUGAAUGAUGCUGCGGUUGACAUUCUAUACUUGGAUAAUACAUACUGCAAUCCUUCGUAUGAUUUCCCGCCUCGAGAAGUUGCUGCCCAGCAGGUUGUUGAUAUAAUUGCUUCGCAUCCGGACCAUGAUAUCAUCAUUGGGAUUGAUUCUUUGGGGAAAGAAGAUCUUUUGCUUCACAUUUCACAGGUGCUUAAGAUAAAGAUUUGGGUGUGGCCAGAACGCUUGCAAACCAUGCAUCUUCUUGGGUUUGAUGAGAUAUUCACAACUAAGACUUCCCUUACUAGAGUUCGAGCUGUUCCUCGUUACAGCUUUAACAUUGAAACCUUAGAAGGUUUGAAUUCAAUGCGACCAACAAUUGGGAUCAUGCCAUCUGGUCUUCCAUGGAUGGUAAGACCUUCAGAAGGAAAAGACAAUCUUUUCGGUUCUCUACUAACUACUCGGUAUAACAAAAGUAAAUGGGCUGGAAAUGAUGGUGUCCAGAUGGAUAAGCCAAAUGGAAGUUCAGAAUCUCCCAUCAAGCUUCAUAAAUACAUUUAUACCGUUGGUUACUCUGAUCACUCAUCCUAUUCUGAGAUAGAGAAGUUUAUAAAGCUUGUUCAGCCAAUCAACAUGAAAGGCAUUGUGUCAUCAUCGUGUUGCUAUGUUGAUCCUAUGUACUACUUUGGCCGCCUUUGUGGGGUAAACCAACCAGCACAAAGCUUACAUCAAAAGCAAAAAAGGCAAGAGCGAGAUGAAAUAACUUUGGGGACAAAAUCUACCUUUGGCAGGAAUUUUUUUACAGAAGUUGAGAGAAGAAAGAGUGUGAAGGUCAAGCUUUUAAGUGUACGAGCGAACAGGGUAAGAGCCUAUAGACGAGUAAGAUCUGGUGCAAAGAUUCUAGAUGAUGACUGUCCGGACUGACUAAAAUUCUCAAAUUUCUUUCUUCAUACUGCGUACUCUCCAGUUUGUAAAGCACAUUCAUGUCUCUAGGAAGUAAAGAGAGAUCAUUACGGGGUCCAUUAUAGUUCUCCUCAAAUGUAUGCACCGCAAAUAACAACUAUGUUUCUCUAAAACCAAAGGUACUUCAGUUACCAUUAUCAAAAAAGAAAAAAAAAACUUCGGUUAUCCAUUCAUUUAUCUUUAUUUAUUUAUUUUUGUUAGCAAUUCAUCUUUAUUUUACUUUACAUUGAUGUGAACCUAGGAUUAAUAUAUGUAAAAUUGUUAGGAUUAGGAGGGGCACAGAGGAAAAUUAUAAUUUGAAAAAGCAUAGGUUAAAACUUGAAAUUUUAGAUGUUGGGAAGAUAGCCCAAAUUUUUAUA